Molecule: ribosomal RNA, 392 nt
Filed under: Synura mollispina
Lineage: Eukaryota; Synurophyceae; Synurales; Mallomonadaceae
Description: partial small subunit ribosomal RNA
Rfam family: Eukaryotic small subunit ribosomal RNA
Source: RNAcentral
GCUUGUCUCAAAGAUUAAGCCAUGCAUGUCUAAGUAUAAGCCUUUAUAUGGUGAGACUGCGAAUGGCUCAUUAAAUCAGAAACUGUUUAUUUGAUAGUGCCUACUACAUGGAUACCUGUAGUAAUUCUAGAGCUAAUACAUGCAAAAAGCCUGGACUUCUGGAACAGGCGUAUUUAUUAGAUGGAAACCAAUGCGGGGCAACCCGGUAUAUGGUGAUUCAUAAUAACUUUCGGAUCGAUCUUCGGAUCGAUGCAUCAUUCAAGUUUCUGCCCUAUCAGCUUUGGAUGGUAGGGUAUUGGCCUACCAUGGCUUUAACGGGUAACGGAGAAUUAGGGUUCGAUUCCGGAGAGGGAGCCUGAGAAAUGGCUACCACAUCCAAGGAAGGCAGCAGG